UACGUAGGCAGCAAGCGUUGUUCGGAGUUACUGGGCGUAAAGGGUGCGUAGGUGGCUCUAUAAGUAUGGUGUGAAAUCUCCCGGCUUAACUGGGAGGGUGCGCCGUAGACUGUGGGGCUAGAGUGUGGGAGAGGAAAGUGGAAUUCCUGGUGUAGCGGUGAAAUGCGUAGAUAUCAGGAGGAACACCGGUGGUGUAGACGGCUUUCUGGACCGUAACUGACG
RNAcentral lists this ribosomal RNA (222 nucleotides) under uncultured bacterium. RNAcentral describes it as "partial 16S ribosomal RNA". It matches the Rfam family "Bacterial small subunit ribosomal RNA", at positions 524 to 745 of the family's 1533-position model. The record is from RNAcentral.